RNAcentral lists this ribosomal RNA (392 nucleotides) under uncultured Actinomycetes bacterium. RNAcentral describes it as "bacterial SSU rRNA". It matches the Rfam family "Bacterial small subunit ribosomal RNA", at positions 42 to 433 of the family's 1533-position model. The record is from RNAcentral. Lineage: Bacteria; Bacillati; Actinomycetota; Actinomycetes.
GCGCGCUUAACACAUGCAAGUCGAACGUGAAGCUGGAGCUUGCUCCGGUGGAAAGUGGCGAACGGGUGCGUAACACGUGAGCAACCUGCCCCGAAGACUGGGAUAACACCGGGAAACCGGUGCUAAUACCGGAUACCUUCUUCCGAUCGCAUGGUUGGAUGAAGAAAUGGAUUCCGCUUCGGGAUGGGCUCGCGGCCUAUCAGCUUGUUGGUGAGGUAACGGCCCACCAAGGCGACGACGGGUAGCUGGUCUGAGAGGACGACCAGCCACACUGGGACUGAGACACGGCCCAGACUCCUACGGGAGGCANCAGUGGGGAAUCUUGCUCAAUGGGCGAAAGCCUGAAGCAGCGACGCCGCGUGCGGGAUGAANGCCCUCGGGUUGUAAACCGC